UACGUAGGGUGCGAGCGUUGUCCGGAUUUAUUGGGCGUAAAGAGCUCGUAGGCGGUCUGUCGCGUCGGAUGUGAAAACCCAGGGCUCAACCCUGGGCCUGCAUUCGAUACGGGCAGACUAGAGUGUGGCAGGGGAGACUGGAAUUCCUGGUGUAGCGGUGAAAUGCGCAGAUAUCAGGAGGAACACCGGUGGCGAAGGCGGGUCUCUGGGCCGAUACUGACACUGAGGAGCGAAAGCGUGGGGAGCGAACAGG
RNAcentral lists this ribosomal RNA (253 nucleotides) under uncultured bacterium. RNAcentral describes it as "partial 16S ribosomal RNA". It matches the Rfam family "Bacterial small subunit ribosomal RNA", at positions 524 to 776 of the family's 1533-position model. The record is from RNAcentral.